AUGCGCUGCGGGCGCGGCUGUAGCUUCCUCCGUCCAGGCGUCCACCCGAUGCCGCUCCUCGCCACCCGACCCUAUAUAACGCCGCGCACGUCAGCGGCCACCGCGGGCCCCGCCACUGCCACCUCUUCCGGUACCUGCUCCCUCCGGGUCCGGCUCCGCGCACCAGGGAGAUCCGCCGCCUCCUCCUCCUCCUCCCGGCUCCCUCGCGCCAUGGCCGCCACCGGAGCCGAUGCCGCCGCCGCUCCCCCGUCCCUGCUCGUCUUUUCAGGUGGAACAGCAUUUAAUGGUGUCGUAGAAGAGUUGAAGAAAGUGACUACCCGGGUUGCGCAUGUCCUACCAGUUUCUGAUGAUGGUGGAAGCACAGCUGAGAUUGUUCGUGUGCUUGGUGGACCUGCUGUGGGUGACAUAAGAUCAAGAUGCUUGAGACUGUCCGAUGAAAGCACUUUGGAAGCACUCUCCGUCCGGAGAUUACUUGGGCACCGUUUGCCUCUUGAUCCUUCAGAAGCAAAGCUGGAGUGGUACAAUAUUGUGGAAGGAGAACACUCUUUAUGGGAUGGUGUCUCUCGUCCCUACAGGGAAACAAUCCGUGCAUUUUUGGUCUACUUCCAUAAUGAGAUCCUUCGGCGACCAGUUGAAACAUUUUGCUUCACCAAUGGCAGCAUUGGGAAUUUCUUUUUUGCUGGCGCACGCAUAUUCUUCCAGUCUUUGGAUGCUGCGAUCUUUUUGUUUUCACGUGUGUCACAAAUCCCUGCCGAAAGUCUUGUGCUUCCAGUAAUAUCCACAAAUGACAGGCUUACUCUGGGGUGUGAAUUAUGGGAUGGAACUAUUAUCCGAGGCCAAAAUGAAAUAUCACAUCCAAGCAAUGGCCGUAGAGAAGUUGUUGACAAGGACUCUAAUUCAUGCACCGCACUUCCUUCAAGCAUCAAGCGCGUCUUUUACAUGUCAAGUGAAGGUUGCAACCUAUUGCAUGAGGUGUUUCCUGAAGCUAACCAUACAGUUUUGGAGCAGCUAAGUAAGGUGGAUUGCAUUGUAUAUGCGAUGGGGUCGCUAUUUACAUCAGUUUGUCCAUCACUGGUACUGCGUGGCAUUGGUGAGACUAUAGCAUCAAGGUCCAUUCCCAAGGUACUUCUUUUAAAUGGAUCACAUGAUAGAGAAACUAUUGGGCUGUCUGCUUCUGGCUUUGUGACUGCAAUUACGGAUUCUCUAAAUCGGACAUAUGGUGAUCCUGACAAAAGUCUAAAGUAUCAUCCCAAAGACUAUGUUAAUGCCAUAUUGGUUCCUGAAGGAGGCCAAAUUCCUUUAGAUGUUGAACAUUUGGCAUCUAAAAGAAUUUUUCAUGUGUUAACCGUGAAAUCUGUACGCGACACGAAGGUGGGUGUCAUUUUUGAUCCACAGUCUUUAAUCCAAGCUCUGACCGGUCUGAUAUCCGAGCACAUGGAUGCACGCCUUGCGGAACCUGACCCUCUAACUGAAAACGUGACGUCUGUAUGCUGA
Molecule: ribosomal RNA, 1494 nt
Filed under: Triticum aestivum (bread wheat)
Lineage: Eukaryota; Viridiplantae; Streptophyta; Magnoliopsida; Poales; Poaceae
Description: partial small subunit ribosomal RNA
Source: RNAcentral